GUUUUCUCUCUGUUGUGCACAUGAUGAAUUAAGUUGGUCUACUUACCAAAGGCAGAGUAGCACAGUGCAUGGCAAAUACUUCAGUAGUCUCAUUAUUUGAAGAAAAGGGUUUGAAUGUUGAAUCCAUGUUGCAAGUGACCAACUAAUUAAUUAAAGUGCUAAAAUUCCAUCUUUAAUUAAAAAAUAAAGAAAGAAUUGGAGAGGCUUUACGUGCACGUU
This 219-nucleotide unclassified non-coding RNA is filed under the name Hevea brasiliensis (rubber tree). The record is from RNAcentral. Lineage: Eukaryota; Viridiplantae; Streptophyta; Magnoliopsida; Malpighiales; Euphorbiaceae.